Molecule: long non-coding RNA, 748 nt
Organism: Alexandromys fortis (reed vole)
Lineage: Eukaryota; Metazoa; Chordata; Mammalia; Rodentia; Cricetidae
Exons: 3
Source: RefSeq, a predicted model, not a curated record
CCCACAUACACAAGCCCAUUGGCCAUGCUGAUCUAGUCGGUCCAUCACUGAGACUCUUCUUCCAGCUAGAUUGUGUCAAGCUGACAAACUGAAACUAGCCAUCACAUAGCGGAACCGGCCGAGAUUUUCCUAAUCCCUCAGAAGUCCCCAGAACUAAGGCGCAUCAACUUGCAUUGCCUCAUCUGACAGGAGAAGCCCCUAACAUCAUGGCACCCUGUGUCCUGAGCCCACCUGUCUCCUCCACAUGCUAGCUCAUGCGGCCACUCUGUGAUGUGACAACUGCCUGCUCCACGCUCCCACCCCCACUGCUCUCCUAACAAUCUGGGUCCCUGGAGCUAUCAGGGAUGGCCCAUGAAUCUAGUAAGGACAGAAGUUACCAAUGCAACUUGCCAAGGAAUUCUUCCAUCUGCCGUUGACCUGAGAAGGUGUCCUAGGGGAACAGCUUCCUGUCUGGACAGAACCAGAGAGAAGAGAGUACAGCCAGUAUCCACAUGUGACCAAAGGUUACCUACUGAUCAGCUGUCCAGUGUUAGGUAGAGAGAUGUUGUGUUUCCAUUAGGCUCAAGUUCUCCCAUGGAGUGUGCCAUUCCUUCACCCCUUGCACCCCACACUUUUGAACUACAUCUAAGUCUAAGUGAUUUUACCCUUAAGUGUAAAAGUAACACCAAUUAGUUAGCUGGAUGUAGCCCUUAGGAGGGACAAAGCAGGAGGAUUAUGACUUUGGAGCUAGCCUGGGCUACAUUGAAAG